GGCCCAGGUUGUUGGCAUAUAAUUGUUCAUAAUGGCCUCUUAUGGUUCUUUGUAUUUCUGUGGUAUCAUUUGUAAUGUCUUCUUUUUCAUUUCAGGAAUGCUUUUUGUUGUGGUCUUGACUCAAGCUAACCGUGCCCCAAGAUCCCUGGCCAAACUGGGCCACUUUCUCAGCUCUGAGAGCGAUCAGCUCUGCCUGCCUACCUCCUGGCUCACGAGUUGCUAGGUUUUCUGGUCAGGAGGUGCCAGGAGCCUCGCUCUGCAGCAAGUAGAGGUAUGGCUCAGCUCUUCCAUCUGGGCCUACAUAGACCAGGCUCCAGGGCCAGCAGAACUCCACCGUUGGGAACCCGAAUUAGGCAGAUCUGCACUCUGCCGAAUUCCCCGGUAAGACUGCCGCUUCCCUGACUGCAGAUGAGCAGAGUUGCUGGUUGGGACUCCUACUUGGGCCCUGAAGGAACUCCAAAAGGAAGCUUCAGGCUGUGAGAAACACGGCUUCAUCGGAAUCCCGGUCCUUGCCGCUAUCUUCGCUUGGAGCACACUCUCCACCACUGGGAGACCGACAGCUCAAAUCCUCCACCCCGGACUC
Rhinolophus ferrumequinum (greater horseshoe bat) is the source of this 583-nucleotide long non-coding RNA. RefSeq lists it as uncharacterized. The record is from RefSeq and is a predicted model, not a curated record. NCBI's taxonomy places the organism in Eukaryota, Metazoa, Chordata, Mammalia, Chiroptera, Rhinolophidae. The transcript is spliced from 3 exons.